GUGGGUUUUUUGUUUGGGGGGGGGUUGUUUGUUUUUCAGCCUUCUUUUUCUCGCCACUUCCUCCUCCUCUGAGCAUCUUCGACUGCAGGCCUACCCGGCUUCUAAAUGCGUAGAUGUGGCGGGCCUGGGGGGAUCCUGUGCGCCUCGCUCACGGCGCCACGCUGCCGAAGACUCAGAACCGAGGGUCCCCAAGGCAAUCCGUAGUUGCUUCGUGGUCUCAUGGACUUCUCUCUCACACAUGGAAAUGAUGUCUGAGGACUGCUUACAUUCUGGAGAAAAUGCCUGGGAUUUUUGAUCUGAGGAAUUGGCAGAAGGUAGGAGAGGGGCUUGGAAACUCUAAAAUCAAGAAAUUCAAGAGGAAAAAUUAAAGAAGAACAAGAAACUGUUUGAAGAAAGGAAGGAAAGUAAAAGAAUUGUGUGCAAAAUCCUAAGGGUGUUUGAAAUUUCUCCUGAGUUUCCAGCAAAGGUAGCCGUAGCCUGCCUGUCUCUCUUUCCCUGGGUUUCCCCAUGGACUCUCUGGUUCAGUAUUUCUGGACUCCUUUGCCUGGAAACCACACAUUUACAAACAAGCAGCCUAGUCACAGGGAGGCCUUACCCACUGGUGAUGGGUAGGGAAAGCUGCCGGUGUGGACAAGGAGCCAGGGUGGGAAAAGCCCUGGGCAGGCCUGGCAGGGCUGGAGUAUGGCCUUCCAGACCUGUCUGGCUGUAGGACAAAGGUGCUGAGCUCACCACCUGUAGGGGAGCCUCUGAGCUCCUGGCCAUGGGGGGGGGGGCUUGGCCCAGAAUGAUCUUAUUGCCGUUAUUAAUGACCAGAAUGAUAUCUUAAGCUAAGACCAAAAGGAAAGGGAUCCAAAUGAGAAAACCAGCACAGCUCUGCCUCUGCUCAGAAGCUGUGAGCUUCACUACACCCAGUGUCUACAGUUGUUUCUUAGGUAUCUACCAGUGGGCUCUGCACUCCAGAGUUCGGGAUUGUACAGGCUGGAAGGCAAUUACUUGAAACAAGUAGGGUAUGAAAUCCUUGAGAAGGGAGGUGGAAGAUGCUCCCUGUGUAACUAAGACAACUUACUACCACUUCUUCCUCCACAGCAGAUUUAAGAUCUUUUUCUUUUUAAACUAAAAAUGACACUGUCCUAAAAGCCAUUGGGAGUUUGGACAGAUUCUCUUGUAGAACUAGGACUGUCCCUAACAGUCACUUAUCAGACUGAGUGGCAGGUGCUGAAUGACAUUCCAAAAUCAGGCACACCGGGGUUGGGUCUUGGCUCUUGGAUUGGCUUUGUGACCAGAAUUCAACAUCUUGGGCUGUUUUAGCGUCUGGCAAAUAAUGGGUCUGAAAGUACCACAGCUGUACCUGGUAGUCUGCAUCGCUAGGCAUUUCCUCGAGUCUUCUUGAAAGUCCACUCAUUCUUUACCCAGAAACCCAGAAAAUUUGAGCUGAUUCACAUCUCUCCUAAACAAACUGAGCUGUGGCUUCGCAGACGGGAGCUCCCCACUGCAAACACCAGUCCUUUCCAGGGAUCUCAAAAACAGUUUCUGGUUUCCCCACUGUGCCUUUGUUUGCAUUCUGCCACCCUGCUGGGCAAGGUCUCAUCUUUGUAUUCUUUUUUUUUUGUACCGGGCAUCGAAUCCGGACCUUGCACUUUCGAGGCAGGCACCAGAACCACUGAGCUAAAUCCCCAGUCCUCAUCUUUGUAUUCUCGACAUUGCCUGUCAGCCAAUUCAAUUACUCACCGGCUGCAGGUCGGGGAACAGUCCCUCAAACCUGGCUGGAACCCACAGAAAAUCGCUGAGAUGCAGGACUCCGUGAUCCACCCUCCAUUCUGCCCCAAGUGCCGACUAGAAAGCCUGGGAGGAAGAACGACACAGGGUCAAGCUAGCCCCACGGUCUAAGAGGUGACGUCUCAGCGGGCUGCCCUGACUGCUUGGGAGUCCCCGGGGACAGGACACGCCCAGAGAUCCAGCAGGCCCAGAGACCCAGCAGGCGGUGAACCCUUAGAUCUCAGCUCCACCACCCUUCCCCCAACCUUUGCUCAGGGGGAAAGGUUCAAGGUGGGCAGGUGCUGGGCCUUCUGGCGCGCUGCUUCUCAGGAGCCCCAGCUGUGUGCUCCAGGCUUCAUCUGCUAUGUUUUCAGCAAGGAAAGUAAAUAUCUUGUAUAUAGUUCCAUAGUGGUCUGGCCCUGAUUAUGCACGAUCACGUUCCAGAAAUACGGCUGCUGUGGCUGGAAGGCGCCGGACUCGCGGAAGACUCUUGGAACUUCCUCUUUUUGUUUUUUAAUUUAGUUUGAACGACUGGCUGGUGGUUGGAAAGUGGUCAGCUCGGAUUCCUCAUUCUGAACACAGCCUCGGUGUUACCAUGCAGGUGAGAACUGGGAAGCAACAGCUCACUGAGCUUUCCACUAACCCCUGGUGGCCCCACGCAGCCCCAGGCCGACCAGACACCUCCCCAGCCCCAGGCCCACACUCAGAGGCAUCCUCAUUCGUCUGGGACCCAGUAAAAUCUCUUAAACUUGAAGGGUUGGCAAGAGAGGAAAGGAGCCAGGCAACGGAAUAGCGG
Long non-coding RNA from Heterocephalus glaber (naked mole-rat), 2551 nucleotides. NCBI's taxonomy places the organism in Eukaryota, Metazoa, Chordata, Mammalia, Rodentia, Bathyergidae. The record is from Ensembl.